This 195-nucleotide unclassified non-coding RNA is filed under the name uncultured fungus. RNAcentral describes it as "partial contains 18S rRNA, ITS1, 5.8S rRNA, ITS2 and 28S rRNA". Lineage: Eukaryota; Fungi. The record is from RNAcentral.
AAGGAUCAUUACUGAGUGCGGGCUGCCUCCGGGCGCCCAACCUCCCACCCGUGACUACCAAACACUGUUGCUUCGGCGGAAGCCUCCCCUGGGAGCGACCGCCGGAGACCACUGAACUUCUUUGUUUAAGCAUGAUCUCUGAGCUUGAAUAAGCAAAAUUAAUUAAAACUUUCAACAAUGGAUCUCUUGGUUCCG